Molecule: long non-coding RNA, 1290 nt
Organism: Gadus chalcogrammus (walleye pollock)
Lineage: Eukaryota; Metazoa; Chordata; Actinopteri; Gadiformes; Gadidae
Exons: 4
Source: RefSeq, a predicted model, not a curated record
AGAGGCGUUCCUUCGUUGAGAACGCUCCUCCCCCUUCUACAGUUGUUCCGAUACCGAUGCUAGUGUCGGAAAUGACUUGCGAGUAGAUUAGUCUAUGCGCCGAUCUGAUGCAUCACGUGACUCCUUUACAACACAGGCAAAGAACAUCACAACACUACGGUGUUAUUCUAUGUUUCGUUAACGGUUAACAUCUCCGACCUACUUGAGUUUGAGCUACCAAGUCAGAAAAACAUAGAUGCUUCUGCUUAACUACAAGAAUAGAAAUGAAUUAAUAUAAUUAUAGAUUAGAAAUGUAAAUGAUCUUGUUCUGAAAAAUAGAUAGUCAAAAGUAAGUGGACAUUGCUGUCAUUGUAAGAGAACCAGUGCCAUCAUCAGUUACAAUGCUGUGUCGGUAUAUACUCGGUAUCGGCCGAUUCUCAAGUUCAGGAAUCGGGAAUCGGGAAGGAAAAAAUGGUAUUUGAACAUCUCUACUCCCUUCUAAACCCCCCCCUCUUGCAGUGGCGGAGCCAGGGGGUGGCCGGGGGUGGCCACGGCCACCCCCCGUAGAAUCUCGGCCACCCCAUUGGCCACCCCAAGCACCGGAUCACAGCGGUCAAAAGUUUUGACGGCUGUGGAAAAAUGCGGAACCUUUCUCGCACCGCUAGUACACUGCCGGACCCUUUAGCCGCGCGCAGCGCGCACACGUCCUGCAUUUGAAUUAAACGGCUCAAGCAUGGCCUGAAUGCCUGUUACCAUCUGACGCUUCGACCGGCACCUGAGGCUAAGUGAAGAAACCCAAAACAGAAAGAUUGAUCAAGAGCAGGACAGAAGAGUCCUCCCUGAGGAGUGGCCCCAGUGGAUCCCCAGAUUCCCACAGAAGAUUCAGACAGCGAGAGAGAGGAGCCUCCAACAACGAGUGGCGGCCCAAGGUACCACCAGGUAUGAGUCAUACCACUCACCGUCCUCAACUGGAGUAGAGUUGGAUGAAUGGCCUCAAAUCUAUAACGUUUUAAGCAGAUUAUAGUGUUCAGAUAAUCCAUUAGAUGUAACAUGGGAUAGUACACUCCAAUGUAUGAGUUUAUCUUGAUUGUUAUUAAUCUCUGUUGUAAUUUAAUAAUUGAAUAUGCCUUUUUUUCCAUUUUCAAACGGACAUUUCCAAAUCAAGAACCGAUAGAUCUUUAAGGACAGUCAUUGAAGUGUUCAGUUUUAAUGAGAUGUCACUGUUUGGAUUCUCUGUCUGAUAUGUGUAAAUGUGGCUCAAACUUGAAUCUAAUCUUGCAGAGUCCGCCUAAUACCCAUUGUGAAUAUGAU